Molecule: long non-coding RNA, 620 nt
Organism: Pogoniulus pusillus (Red-fronted tinkerbird)
Lineage: Eukaryota; Metazoa; Chordata; Aves; Piciformes; Lybiidae
Exons: 2
Source: RefSeq, a predicted model, not a curated record
GAAGAGGACAAAUGAUCCUGAUCUAUUUCUACAAAGGCAGAUCCUGUUCUGGCAUCUGAACAGCUGAGUAGGAGGUGAGGCUCAGCCGCUUCCUGGAAAGCAGUACACAGAAUGGUUAGACCAGAAGACAAACACUGCCACAAAGACUGCCCACCAGCAUGGGAAGCCCAUCAGUGUCAAGGCACAGCACAUAUCCAUGGUUUGUACCAGCAUGUUCCUCCCCACAGAGUAGCUACUCCAGCACAGGAAGACCAGCAAAGCAAAGCAUGUAGCCAUUAUUUGCAUCAAUGUGUUCCCAGGCUCAGCAAAAUAGAGAAGCAGUGCAGACAACAAAUACUCUGUGUAACCUGCACAGGUAUUGCUGUCCUGAGCUGCAUGCUGGUGCAAAAAAAAAAAAGACUGAUGGGUUGACCCUGGCUAGGUGCAAGGUGCCCACCAAAGCUGCUCUGUUACUCCUCUCUUCAGCUGGACAGGGAAGAGAAAAUGUAAGGGAAGUUUGUGGGUCAUGAUAAGGACAUGGAGAGAUCACUCAGCACUUCCUGUCAUUGGCAGAACAGACCCAUCUUGAGCAAAUUAAUUUAAUUUAUUACCAAUAAAAAUCCAAGUAGGAUAAUGUGAAA